This 253-nucleotide ribosomal RNA is filed under the name uncultured bacterium. RNAcentral describes it as "partial 16S ribosomal RNA". It matches the Rfam family "Bacterial small subunit ribosomal RNA", at positions 524 to 776 of the family's 1533-position model. The record is from RNAcentral.
UACGUAGGGGGCUAGCGUUGUUCGGAAUCAUUGGGCGUAAAGCGCGUGUAGGCGGCCCGGUAAGUCCGCUGUGAAAGUCGGGGGCUCAACCCUCGGAUGCCGGUGGAUACUGUCGGGCUCGAGUACGGAAGAGGCGAGUGGAAUUCCUGGUGUAGCGGUGAAAUGCGCAGAUAUCAGGAGGAACACCGAUUGCGAAGGCAGCUCGCUGGGACGUGACUGACGCUGAGACGCGAAAGCGUGGGGAGCAAACAGG